UCAGACGAUGCGUCAUGCAUAUCAAUAAGCGGAGGAAAAGAAACUAACAAGGAUUCCCCUAGUAACGGCGAGUGAGGCGGGAAGAGCUCAAAUUUGAAAUCUUAAAGGGUUUCCCUUUACGAAUUGUAGUUUAAAGAAGUGUUUUCUGUUGAGGUUUUGGUAAAAGUUCUUUGGAAUAGGACAUCAUAGAGGGUGAGAAUCCCGUAUUUGACCUUUACUUUCAACUUUGUGAUACACUUUCAAAGAGUCGGAUUGUUUGGGAAUGCAGUCCAAAAUGGGUGGUAAAUUUCAUCUAAAGCUAAAUAUUGGCGAGAGACCGAUAGCGAACAAGUACCGUGAGGGAAAGAUGAAAAGAACUUUGAAAAGAGAGUUAAACAGUACGUGAAAUUGUCAAAAGGGAAGCGUUUGACACCAGUGUUGUUUUUCUGAAAAUCAAUUAAAGAACUGUUUAUGCUAAGUUGUUUAGACUUUAUCAGCUAACUGUUUAGUUUUGAGCUUUUCUUUAAUGCACUUUUCAGUUAACAAGUCAACAUCAAUUUCUUUUGCUGUAAAAAAGCUUGAGGAAGGUGGCUUGAGAUUCGUCUUAAGUGUUUAUAGCCUCUUGCCUAUGCAGUCGGAGAGAUUGAGGUCUGCAGCGUAGAUCCUUCGGGGCUAAAUGCAUUUGUGCUAAGUUAUAGCAUUUUAUAGACAACUUGUUGACUAUGAUUUGUCUUGUAGCUUACUCGCUUAUGUUAUUUUACCUACGCUUAGGAUGUUGAGCGCAUGUCUCUCUCU
This 774-nucleotide ribosomal RNA is filed under the name uncultured Neocallimastigales. RNAcentral describes it as "partial large subunit ribosomal RNA". It matches the Rfam family "Eukaryotic large subunit ribosomal RNA", at positions 18 to 616 of the family's 3401-position model. The record is from RNAcentral. Lineage: Eukaryota; Fungi; Neocallimastigomycota; Neocallimastigomycetes; Neocallimastigales.